CCGACUGAGCCACCCAGGCGCCCCAACACAGCCUUGUUUUCUAAGCACAAAUCACCCACAUCCAGGUAGCUAUGGACACAAAAUGUUGAGGUGGGACUUGGGCAAAUAUGUAAGGAGAGGAAUUGGACAACGCCAGAGACCUCUUUCCUCCAAUUGUAUGAUGUCUUCUACUUUUUGAUGCCUUAAGGACUUUGAAUAGAGGUGAAGUUCAGAAUGUUGGUGAUUUAAGAGCUUUUGAGUGUCAAGAGUUAUAGUUAGGGCAUAUGGUCAGGGUGCCUGGCUGACUCAGUCAGUGGAGCAUGCGAUUCUUGAUCUUGAGGGCGUGAGUUUGAGCCCCACGGUGGGGUUAGAGAUUACUUAAAAAUAAAUAAAUAAACUUAAAAAAAUAAUAUGUAUUGUUAGUUGGUCAGUUAUAACAUGUAUGUCUGACACAUAGCCAUCCCAACCUCUUUCUUCCUUGAGUUGCUUCCUCCGGAGAAGCUGAAAAGUGAGAUCUCCACUUACCUACCUGACCAUCCUUGUAGCUAGAGGCAGUCUUGUGACCCGGUUCGGGUCAAGGAGCUAUAAGGAGGUGUAUGACAGAAUCUUUUGCAAAACUUUUUCCCUUACAGGGAGACAGCUGAGGAAACGUUCUUUUAUUGUUAGUUGCUGCCCCUCUUCCACUGCUUCCUGUUUUGGAGUUCUGUUGCAGUGUUGGAAGCUGCAGCAACCGUUUCGUAGUCAUGAGGCCUCAAGCACAAAGAUGCAAAACCAACACGUGGAAGAUGGUGGACAAGGAAAGACAGAAAGAGCCUGGCUUCUUGGGGAGCCUGGGGCUGCCGUAACGAAAUACCACGCACUGGGCGGCUUCAACAACGGAAAUCAAUUUCCUCGUGGUUCUGGAGGCUGGAAGUUCAAGAUCAAGGUGUUGGAGGGCUGGUGUCUCCUGGAACCUCUCUCCCCUUGGCUUGUAGAUGGCCACUUCUCCCUGUGCAUUCACGGGGUCUCCCCUCCACACCAGGGCAUGUGGAAUGAUCCAGGAUAACCCCCCAUCUCAAGAUUUCCAACUUAAUUACACCUGCAAAGUCCUUUUUGCCAUAUAAGCCAAUCAGAUUGCUUCCUCCGAGCCCUGCUGCGUGGUCAUCCCAAAGCUGCACCAGUUAUGCGUUUGAGGACUCAUCUUAAAGAAGAGCCUUGGAACGAGGCAGCCAAAGAAAUCAUGUUGACAUCAGGAAGGCUUAGGUGUGAAUGACUCCGGUGUUUCAUUAAAUCCCGCCGGGCAUAAUGCCCUGUUUGUUUU
This is a long non-coding RNA of Felis catus (domestic cat), 1279 nucleotides long. RefSeq lists it as uncharacterized. The transcript is spliced from 3 exons. NCBI's taxonomy places the organism in Eukaryota, Metazoa, Chordata, Mammalia, Carnivora, Felidae. The record is from RefSeq and is a predicted model, not a curated record.